CCUGGCGGCGUGGAUAAGAACAUGCAAGUUGAGCGAAUGAACGGACAAUAGCAAUAUUUGAAGGGAUUAGCAGCGAACGGGUGAGUAACACGUGGGAAUCUGCCCUAGGGACUGGGAUAGCCUGACGAAAGUCAGGGUAAUACCGGAUAAGAUCUUCGGAUUAAAGGCGCAAGCCGCUCUAGGAUGAGCCCGCGUUCCAUCAGCUAGUUGGUAGGGUAAAAGCCUACCAAGGCGACGACGGAUAGCUGGUCUGAGAGGACGGUCAGCCACAAUGGAACUGAGACACGGUCCAUACACCUACGGGUGGCAGCAGUCGAGAAUCAUUCACAAUGGGCGAAAGCCUGAUGGUGCGACGCCGCGUGGGGGAUGAAGGCCUUAGGGUCGUAAACCCCUGUCGGUUGUGAGUAAAGCCCGGUUCGAAUCGGGUCUGAUAUUAGCAACAAAGGAAGGGGCGGCUAACUCCGUGCCAGCAGCCGCGGUAAUACGGAGGCCCCAAGCGUUGUUCGGAUUUACUGGGCGUAAAGCGUGCGUAGGCGGCAAGAUAAGUUUGGCGUGAAAUCCCCGGGCCCAACCCGGAAAUUGCGCUGGAAACUAUCUAGCUAGAAGUGUGGUGGGGAGUACGGCCGCAAGGUUAAACUCAAAGAAAUUGACGGGGGCCUGCACAAGCGGUGGAGCAUGUGGCUUAAUUCGAUGCAACGCGAAGAACCUUACCUGGGCUUGACAUGUUUGUCAUAGUCCCGUGAAAGCGGGACGUCAGUUCGGCUGGACAAUCACAGGUGCUGCAUGGCUGUCGUCAGCUCGUGUCGUGAGAUGUUGGUUUAAGUACCGCAACGAGCGCAACCCCUAUGUCCUGUUGCCACGGAGAACACGUUUCUCCAGCACUCUGGACAGACUGCCUCAUUUAAUGAGGAGGAAGGUGGGGAUGACGUCAAGUCAGUAUGGCCCUUACGCCCAGGGCUGCACACGUGCUACAAUGCCUAGUACAAUGGGAAGCUAAAUCGCGAGAUGGAGCAAAUCCCCAAAACUAGGCUCAGUUCGGAUUGGAGUCUGCAACUCGACUCCAUGAAGUUGGAAUCGCUAGUAACGGCGCAUCAGCUACGGCGCCGUGAAUACGUUCCCAGGCCUUGUACACACCGCCCGUCACAUCAUGAAAGCCGGGAGCACCCGAAGCCUGCGAUUACGUGGUCGAAGGUAAGCUUGGUAAUUGGGAUGAAGUCGUAACAAGGUAGCCGUAGGGGAACCUGCGGCUGGAUCACCUCCUUUCU
This 1265-nucleotide ribosomal RNA is filed under the name uncultured organism. RNAcentral's name for it is "partial 16S ribosomal RNA". It matches the Rfam family "Bacterial small subunit ribosomal RNA". The record is from RNAcentral.